GGAAGAAGCUCAAGGAAAUGGAGGAGAGACUCAAAGCGUUGCAGGAUUUGGACAGGAAUGUGAUGGUUAAGAGUAGUUCUCUGAGUACAGAUUUCGAUAAAGCGUGUAGUAAUCUCGAUAACCUCUCUACUGGGAAGUUGGAUGAGGUUAAGUAGACGGAGGGUAAUAUAUGUUAGCAGAACUAAAGUUGAGGGUUUAUUUCACAUGAUUUUUAGUUGAGGAUUUUUUUUACGAUUCAUCUUUAGUUGAGGGGUUUAAUUACUAAAAACCCUUAUUUUAAUAUCUUCUCGUUAGCUGGUGUAACGUUUGGUACAGAAGAAUAAUCGGGAGGAGAAUGCUUCCGACCACGACGCUGGCACUACAACAUUGGCUAAUAAAAACAUCCAUAGAAGUAAAAGCUCCUACGAGAAGGGUUUGUCGAAGUACUGGGAGUUCGAGAAGAGCAUUAAGGAGAAGCAGGAGAGGAUCUGCGGGUUGCAGGAUGAGUUUGGGGAGAGCGUUGCGAUCGAGGACGAUGAAGCGAGGAGGUUGAUGACCGAGACUGCGAUCAAGUCGUGUCAGGAGAAGCUGGUGGAGCUGCAGGAGAAGCAGGAGAAGUCUUACGAGGAAGCGAGGGAGGAGCAUUUGAAGAUUGUGGAGUCUAAGGAGAAGCUGAGGUCUAUGUCGAGUCAGCUUCUUGGUGAGGACAGUGUUGUCUUUGCGGAGGAUUGUGAUGAAGUUAGAAGUAGUGCUUUGGAACAUGAGAUGAGAGAGAUGUCUAGGAAGAAGGAAGAGCUGGAGUCUGUUAAGGAGAAGAUCAGAGAGCAUUUCGAGUCCGGCGUGGACUCUUCGGUGGACGCUACAGAGAUGGCUGAGAGGGUUGAUGAGCUUGUGAACAAAGUGAUUAGCUUGGAGAGUGCUGUUUCCUCCCAGACUGCUUUGAUUCAGAGGUUGAGAAAUGAGACUAACGGUCUACAGACGCAGAUAAGUACUCUUGAAACGGACAAGGCUGUAUUAGCAGAUGACAAGAGUGAUCUGAGGAAGAAGCUUAAGGAGAUGGAGGAGAGACUCAAAGCGUUGCAGGAUUUGGACAGGAAUGUGAUGGUUAAGAGUAGUUCUCUGAGUACAGAUUUCGAUAAAGCGUGUAGUAAUCUCGAUAACCUCUCUACUGGGAAGUUGGAUGAGGUUAAGUCUGAGAACUUGGCAGUGAAAAUGGCUGAGGAGACGAAAGAAGAAGAAGCUGAGAAGAAGAGUGAAAGCUCUGUAGAUAUCAUCAUCCC
Molecule: long non-coding RNA, 1259 nt
Filed under: Brassica napus (rape)
Lineage: Eukaryota; Viridiplantae; Streptophyta; Magnoliopsida; Brassicales; Brassicaceae
Description: long non-coding RNA (BNAP_LNC003589)
Source: RNAcentral